Molecule: long non-coding RNA, 202 nt
Filed under: Lathyrus oleraceus (garden pea)
Lineage: Eukaryota; Viridiplantae; Streptophyta; Magnoliopsida; Fabales; Fabaceae
Description: Pisum sativum (pea) long non-coding RNA (PSAT_LNC031682)
Source: RNAcentral
AAAAACAAAAUCCAGUCCAAACAAAUUCGGUUUUAAUACAUAAUAAGUACAACACAUAAUCCAGUCCAAACUCAAUACAUUUAACUAAUCUGAAAAUAAUUAAAAAAAAAAUUAAAUUUCACAAUUUUGAAUAUACCUUGAUGAAGACUUUGAAUCUGUUUGCUCCAAAUUCUUGAAUGAAUAAUUCACUCUUAGCUAUUUC